Molecule: non-coding RNA, 73 nt
Organism: Zootermopsis nevadensis
Lineage: Eukaryota; Metazoa; Arthropoda; Insecta; Blattodea; Termopsidae
Source: Rfam
GCUAUGGUGGUCUAGCGGUUAGAACGCUGGCCUUGUAAUCCUGGGGUCUCGGGUUCGAUUCCCGGCGGUGCCC